RNAcentral lists this ribosomal RNA (358 nucleotides) under uncultured bacterium. RNAcentral describes it as "bacterial SSU rRNA". It matches the Rfam family "Bacterial small subunit ribosomal RNA", at positions 28 to 392 of the family's 1533-position model. The record is from RNAcentral.
GAUGAACGCUGGCGGCGUGCCUAACACAUGCAAGUCGAGCGAUUCUCUUCGGAGAAGAGCGGCGGACGGGUGAGUAACGCGUGGGUAACCUGCCCUGUACACACGGAUAACAUACCGAAAGGUAUGCUAAUACGAGAUAAUGUACUUUUAUCGCAUGGUAGAAGUAUCAAAGCUCCGGCGGUACAGGAUGGACCCGCGUCUGAUUAGCUAGUUGGUAAGGUAACGGCUUACCAAGGCGACGAUCAGUAGCCGACCUGAGAGGGUGAUCGGCCGCAUUGGAACUGAGACACGGUCCAAACUCCUACGGGAGGCAGCAGUGGGGAAGUAAUUGCACAAUGGGCGAAAGACCUGAUGCAGC